Molecule: ribosomal RNA, 1613 nt
Filed under: Vibrio parahaemolyticus
Lineage: Bacteria; Pseudomonadati; Pseudomonadota; Gammaproteobacteria; Vibrionales; Vibrionaceae
Description: partial 23S ribosomal RNA
Rfam family: Bacterial large subunit ribosomal RNA
Source: RNAcentral
UUUGUAUAAUGGGUCAGCGACUUAUAUUCAGUGGCAAGGUUAACCAUCUAGGGGAGCCGUAGGGAAACCGAGUCUUAACUGGGCGUUCAGUCUCUGGAUAUAGACCCGAAACCAGGUGAUCUAGCCAUGGGCAGGUUGAAGGUUGAGUAACAUCAACUGGAGGACCGAACCGACUAAUGUUGAAAAAUUAGCGGAUGACUUGUGGCUAGGGGUGAAAGGCCAAUCAAACCUGGAGAUAGCUGGUUCUCCCCGAAAGCUAUUUAGGUAGCGCCUCGGACGAAUACUACUGGGGGUAGAGCACUGUUAAGGCUAGGGGGUCAUCCCGACUUACCAACCCUUUGCAAACUCCGAAUACCAGUAAGUACUAUCCGGGAGACACACGGCGGGUGCUAACGUCCGUCGUGGAGAGGGAAACAACCCAGACCGCCAGCUAAGGUCCCAAAUUACUACUAAGUGGGAAACGAUGUGGGAAGGCUCAGACAGCCAGGAUGUUGGCUUAGAAGCAGCCAUCAUUUAAAGAAAGCGUAAUAGCUCACUGGUCGAGUCGGCCUGCGCGGAAGAUGUAACGGGGCUAAGUAGUAAACCGAAGCUGCGGCAAUAUACUUUUGUAUAUUGGGUAGGGGAGCGUUCUGUAAGCGGUUGAAGGUGUGUGGUAACGCAUGCUGGACGUAUCAGAAGUGCGAAUGCUGACAUGAGUAACGAUAAAGGGGGUGAAAAACCUCCUCGCCGGAAGACCAAGGGUUCCUGUCCAACGUUAAUCGGGGCAGGGUAAGUCGACCCCUAAGGCGAGGCCGAAAGGCGUAGUCGAUGGGAAACGGGUUAAUAUUCCCGUACUUCUUACAAUUGCGAUGGGGGGACGGAGAAGGCUAGGUGGGCCUGGCGACGGUUGUCCAGGUUCAAGUGCGUAGGCUUAAGAGUUAGGUAAAUCCGGCUCUUUUUAAGGCUGAGACACGACGUCGAGCACCUACGGGUGUGAAGUCAUUGAUGCCAUGCUUCCAGGAAAAGCCUCUAAGCUUCAGAUUGUAAGGAAUCGUACCCCAAACCGACACAGGUGGUCGGGUAGAGAAUACCAAGGCGCUUGAGAGAACUCGGGUGAAGGAACUAGGCAAAAUGGUACCGUAACUUCGGGAGAAGGUACGCUCUUGAUGGUGAAGUCCCUCGCGGAUGGAGCUGACGAGAGUCGCAGAUACCAGGUGGCUGCAACUGUUUAUUAAAAACACAGCACUGUGCAAAAUCGUAAGAUGACGUAUACGGUGUGACGCCUGCCCGGUGCCGGAAGGUUAAUUGAUGGGGUUAGACUUCGGUCGAAGCUCUUGAUCGAAGCCCCGGUAAACGGCGGCCGUAACUAUAACGGUCCUAAGGUAGCGAAAUUCCUUGUCGGGUAAGUUCCGACCUGCACGAAUGGCGUAAUGAUGGCCACGCUGUCUCCACCCGAGACUCAGUGAAAUUGAAAUCGCUGUGAAGAUGCAGUGUACCCGCGGCUAGACGGAAAGACCCCGUGAACCUUUACUACAGCUUGGCACUGAACAUUGACCCUACAUGUGUAGGAUAGGUGGGAGGCUUUGAAGCACGUACGCCAGUAUGUGUGGAGCCGUCCUUGAAAUACCACCCUU